Molecule: ribosomal RNA, 484 nt
Filed under: uncultured bacterium
Lineage: Bacteria
Description: partial 16S ribosomal RNA
Rfam family: Bacterial small subunit ribosomal RNA
Source: RNAcentral
AUUGAACGCUGGCGGCAGGCCUAACACAUGCAAGUCGAGCGGAUGAAGGGAGCUUGCUCCUGGAUUCAGCGGCGGACGGGUGAGUAAUGCCUAGGAAUCUGCCUGGUAGUGGGGGAUAACGUCCGGAAACGGGCGCUAAUACCGCAUACGUCCUGAGGGAGAAAGUGGGGGAUCUUCGGACCUCACGCUAUCAGAUGAGCCUAGGUCGGAUUCGCCAGUUGGUGGGGUAAAGGCCUACCAAGGCGACGAUCCGUAACUGGUCUGAGAGGAUGAUCAGUCACACUGGAACUGAGACACGGUCCAGACUCCUACGGGAGGCAGCAGUGGGGAAUAUUGGACAAUGGGCGAAAGUCUGAUCCAGCCAUGCCGCGUGUGUGAAGAAGGUCUUCGGAUUGUAAAGCACUUUAAGUUGGGAGGAAGGGCAGUAAGUUAAUACCUUGCUGUUUUGACGUUACCAACAGAAUAAGCACCGGCUAACUUCGUG